Molecule: ribosomal RNA, 497 nt
Filed under: uncultured bacterium
Lineage: Bacteria
Description: partial 16S ribosomal RNA
Rfam family: Bacterial small subunit ribosomal RNA
Source: RNAcentral
GAUGAACGCUGGCGGCGUGCCUAAUACAUGCAAGUCGAGCGAACAGACGAGGAGCUUGCUCCUCUGACGUUAGCGGCGGACGGGUGAGUAACACGUGGAUAACCUACCUAUAAGACUGGGAUAACUUCGGGAAACCGGAGCUAAUACCGGAUAAUAUAUUGAACCGCAUGGUUCAAUAGUGAAAGACGGUUUUGCUGUCACUUAUAGAUGGAUCCGCGCCGCAUUAGCUAGUUGGUAAGGUAACGGCUUACCAAGGCAACGAUGCGUAGCCGACCUGAGAGGGGGAUAGGCCACACUGGAACUGAGACACGGUCCAGACGCCUAAGGGAGGCAGCAGUAGGGAAUCUUCCGCAAUGGGCGAAAGCCUGACGGAGCAACGCCGCGUGAGUGAUGAAGGUCUUCGGAUCGUAAAACUCUGUUAUUAGGGAAGAACAAAUGUGUAAGUAACUAUGCACGUCUUGACGGUACCUAAUCAGAAAGCCACGGCUAACUACGUG